Molecule: long non-coding RNA, 328 nt
Filed under: Androctonus crassicauda
Lineage: Eukaryota; Metazoa; Arthropoda; Arachnida; Scorpiones; Buthidae
Source: RNAcentral
CAGAUCGUUUCCUCUUGUCCGAAGAACUGAUAGAUGUCGAGUCCUGACAUGACAUGAUUAUGUCUGUAUUCACCAACGUCGUGUACUUAUAUUUUAACAGUAACGGGGUUGUCCAGACUAAAAACAAGGGACAUUCCGAGAUAAUUCUGAUCAGACCAGUGUCUAGACUGACCGUACCUGUACACUGUCUGGCUAUAAAACCUCCUUGCUAUACGCUUUGCUGCUGCAACGCCACAAAAACCUACGGAUCCGUUGCUGCCACGCCGCAUAGAGUAAGGUCUAGGUGCUUGUCCCGGCUUCGCCGAGCCGCCGCCCAUGCUGCCUAUGU